AGUGAACGCUGGCGGUAGGCCUAACACAUGCAAGUCGAACGGCAGCACAGUAAGAGCUUGCUCUUACGGGUGGCGAGUGGCGGACGGGUGAGGAAUACAUCGGAAUCUACUUUUUCGUGGGGGAUAACGUAGGGAAACUUACGCUAAUACCGCAUACGACCUACGGGUGAAAGCAGGGGAUCUUCGGACCUUGCGCGAUUGAAUGAGCCGAUGUCGGAUUAGCUAGUUGGCGGGGUAAAGGCCCACCAAGGCGACGAUCCGUAGCUGGUCUGAGAGGAUGAUCAGCCACACUGGAACGGAGACACGGUCCAGACUCCUACGGGAGGCAGCAGUGGGGUAUAGUGGACAAUGGGCGCAAGCCUGAUCCAGCCAUACCGCGUGGGUGAAGAAGGCCUUCGGGUUGUAAAGCCCUUUUGUUGGGAAAGAAAAGCAGCAGGUUAAUACCCCGCUGUUCUGACGGUACCCAAAGAAUAAGCACCGGCUAACUUCGUG
This 492-nucleotide ribosomal RNA is filed under the name uncultured bacterium. Its description in RNAcentral is "partial 16S ribosomal RNA". It matches the Rfam family "Bacterial small subunit ribosomal RNA", at positions 29 to 507 of the family's 1533-position model. The record is from RNAcentral.